RNAcentral lists this transfer RNA (73 nucleotides) under Kouleothrix aurantiaca. It matches the Rfam family "tRNA". From Rfam's summary of the family: Transfer RNA (tRNA) molecules are approximately 80 nucleotides in length. Their secondary structure includes four short double-helical elements and three loops (D, anti-codon, and T loops). Further hydrogen bonds mediate the characteristic L-shaped molecular structure. tRNAs have two regions of fundamental functional importance: the anti-codon, which is responsible for specific mRNA codon recognition, and the 3' end, to which the tRNAs corresponding amino acid is attached (by aminoacyl-tRNA synthetases). tRNAs cope with the degeneracy of the genetic code in two manners: having more than one tRNA (with a specific anti-codon) for a particular amino acid; and 'wobble' base-pairing, i.e. permitting non-standard base-pairing at the 3rd anti-codon position. The record is from Rfam by way of RNAcentral. Lineage: Bacteria; Bacillati; Chloroflexota; Chloroflexia; Chloroflexales; Roseiflexaceae.
GCGGGCGUAGCUCAAUGGAUAGAGCAACGGUCUUCUAAACCGUAGGUUGUGGGUUCGAGCCCCGCCGCCCGCG